CAAAUGGCAAGCAAGCAUAGUCCAAAUCUCAAAUAUCCAAUCCUCGUGUCACUAAGUGAUGUCCCAACACUCACUUGCUUAGUGCCUCUUUAUGACACUUAAGCAUCACAACAGAUCAAGCCCCAAUCUUGUUCUAUGUUUCCAUUAAAACGUCAAUACUAAUGAUUACCAUGACCCGGGCCCAAUGCCUCUUCAUGACAUUGUCCCAAUUCUCAAAUAGUCAAAGUUCUCAAACCCUCUCUAGGCUUCUAACAUUCCUAGUGUCACAAUUGGCAUAUAGGUUAAAUACAUGAAGCAAGGUUCAUUUACAUAAUAAGGAUCAUGGUUCCCAAUCAUAAACAGAAUGCUAAGUCUCACAUGCAUGCACUCUACCACAUAGAGGUCUAAAAUUUCACUAUACAUAAUAUAUGCAUGUUAAGCAUUCUAAAAUUCAUACUAAAUACAUUUAACAAGGAAAUGCAUGAAUUUCUAUUUUACGAAACAUAUUUGCCAAAUAUGAGCAUUUCUCAUAUCAUAGGCUAGGUCAAACCCACCGAACCGUCGCGUAGGGCCUCGAUUCGCCGAACAAAGUUGUCCACGAGCCUCAAGAUAACCUAAAAGUGAUCUGCGAAGAGAUACGAGGGCAUUACAACCAUCUUAUAAAAUCAAAUAUUAACCUAGAAGCAAAAAGGGCCAAAACUCACCUCAAGAGAAGAAAUCUCUUCCAAAGCUCCAAAAGAGAGCUAGAACCCUUCCAAACCAAGCCCAAGGAAGGUUCUAAUCCAAUUAAUCUAGCCUCAAAAGCCCUAGAUCAAAAAGCCCCAAAAUCAACCCUAAAUCUCAUUUCUAGAGUUCCAUCUACCAAAAAGCCUCAAAUCAAGGUCUACAAGGAGGGAAUAAGCAACAAACCUCCUUAGAAGCUCCAAUCCAAGCUCCAAGGGUGAAGAUCUCCCUCUUUGCAAGCUCCAAGUCCAAGCCUUCAAGCACCAAGGAAGAUGAGAAGGUGAGGAAGAUGCCCCAAGUCCACUAGUAGCUCCAAACUUCUUCUCCUUCCCUCCUUCUUCUUCUUCUCCUUCUUCUUCUUCUUCUCUAUCAAGGGUGUAGAGAGGGUUGAGAGAAGAGAAAUGGGGAGAAGAGAGGGUGGAGGGGUCAUAUAGACCCUCUAAUGUAACAAAAUCCAGCUAGGCCCUCCAAAAAUCCAAUAUUGCAUCAGCCCGAACUGGGCAGUUUUCGCCUAGAGGGACCGGUCUCUCCCCAGCAGGGACCGGUCUCUCGCUGCGAACCCGAAAAACCAUCGUUCGGGAACCGGUCUCUCCCUGCGNAGGGACCGGUCUCUCGCUGCGAACCCGAAAAACCAUCGUUCGGAAACCGGUCUCUCCCUGCGUGGGACCGGUCUCUCUCUGCGAAGGCGCGCUCGGGGACCGGUCUCGCCCGCCAGGGACCGGUUGCCUCAGGGCUGUCGCAACACUAUUCACUGGGGGACCGGUCUCUCCUUCCAGGGACCGGUCCCUGAGAGUAAAAACUCUCAGGACUUGUCCAGAAUUUCAGUUUUCGAACUUUUUAGGUCGGAAAACAUUCUACGACCCUCCACCAAGUGUGGAAAAGCUCGAAACACAUCCAAACACUCGAACCUCGCAAUUUGCAAAGGUCCGGUGUGUUACAUUUGAAGACAAAGAACACAAAUGUAUCAAACUUGUAAUAAUUGUGUUAACUAAAUUGUAUUUUGGAAAGUUGAUUGUAAAAGAAAAUUAUGAUGUAAAAUACACCUAAGAUGAAUGUUGUAAUAAUUUAGUUGUUUUAUGUUUUUGAUACUUUCUUAUGCAAUCUUUGGUUGAAUUCCGUUCCUGGUUGGAAUAUCGUGAAUUGUAUCGAUUGCGACGCCUUGGACGUACAGGGGAGACUCUGUCCAUGGUAC
RNAcentral lists this long non-coding RNA (1894 nucleotides) under Ananas comosus (pineapple). RNAcentral describes it as "long non-coding RNA (ACOM_LNC043452)". Lineage: Eukaryota; Viridiplantae; Streptophyta; Magnoliopsida; Poales; Bromeliaceae. The record is from RNAcentral.